AGCUUUGCGCAGUGGCAGUAUCGUAGCCCAUGAGGUUUAUCCGAGGCGCGAUUAUUGCUAGUUGAAAACUUUACCCAAUACCCCGUCAUGACGACUUAGUCGGCAUUGGCAAUUUUUGGCGGUCUCUAAGGAGG
Molecule: small nuclear RNA, 134 nt
Gene: U4
Rfam family: U4 spliceosomal RNA
About the family: U4 small nuclear RNA (U4 snRNA) is a component of the major U2-dependent spliceosome. The structure of U4 snRNA from yeast and human has been reported.
Source: Ensembl